AUUGAACGCUGGCGGCAGGCUUAACACAUGCAAGUCGAGCGGGGGAAGGUAGCUUGCUACCGGACCUAGCGGCGGACGGGUGAGUAAUGCUUAGGAAUCUGCCUAUUAGUGGGGGACAACAUCUCGAAAGGGAUGCUAAUACCGCAUACGUCCUACGGGAGAAAGCAGGGGAUCUUCGGAACUUGCGCUAAUAGAUGAGCCUAAGUCGGAUUAGCUAGUUGGUGGGGUAAAGUCAUGACAGGGCGACGCUCUGUAGCGGGUCUGAGAGGAUGAUCCGCCACACUGGGACUGCGACACGGCCCAGACUCCUACGGGAGGCAGCAGGGGGGAAGAUUGGACAAUGGGGGGAACCCUGAUCCAGCCGCCGCGUGUGUGAAGAAGGCCUUAUGGUUGUAAAGCACUUUAAGCGAGGAGGAGGCUACUUUAGUUAAUACCUAGAGAUAGUGGACGUUACUCGCAGAAUAAGCACCGGCUAACUCUGUGCCAGCCGCCGCCGUAA
This 499-nucleotide ribosomal RNA is filed under the name uncultured bacterium. Its description in RNAcentral is "partial 16S ribosomal RNA". It matches the Rfam family "Bacterial small subunit ribosomal RNA", at positions 30 to 523 of the family's 1533-position model. The record is from RNAcentral.